UAAGAUUAUUAAAAUUCAAACAAAAAGACGACAUGUACUUUACAAUUAAUUGUGGUUUUCUGUAAAUAAAAUAAUACCGAGGAAAAAGGUUAACUCCAACAUUCUUUUGUUUUAGCAAAAGUAACUCCAACAUUUGACCUUGCAACUAAUGCAGUACUGAAAUAUGAAUUUUUCUGUGUAAUAGACAACGAUGUGGCAAUUUCAACAUAUCAUGAGCUUGCCCUGCUGAUUCCUGCUUAGUGCCAACCAUGCAUAUAUUAUUUUGACUGGAAAGAACGUCCCCGCUAGCCAGCUGGGUAUGACCAAACAAAGAUGUCAAUAUUAUAUUAUUGAAAAAAUGUAAUGUAAGUUAAAAACCGAAAUGACGGUGGACCAAAAUUUUGGAUUGACGUGACCUGCAGGAAGGUACUUGAUUAUCGUUCUUUUUUGGAGAUAGCAAUUUCACGAACAUUUUUCCCUUAACAGUCACUAAUUUAAAUUUAAAGAAAAGGGCCAAAUAUGUGUCUGAAUUAUUAAAAAUUGUGUAAUUAUGUACUGUGUCUGUAUUUAGGUACAAAAUUGUCCUUGACAUUAAUAAAAUGGUUCACUUAUGCUCUUCCCCACUAACAGACUACACAUCAUAUAUAAAUUUAUAUAAAAUAAAUAUUUUUUUAUUGAGUUGGAAAUUCAUGUUGGAGAGAAAGUAUUCUCCGUAAACCUACCAUCAUAUGUAGCUAAAUUAGUGUUCAAUUUAGAAGGAAGGACCUUCUUAAGCUCACAAAAGCAUUUGUUACUUCAAUUUAGAAUAGUAUUGCUCGAGUCCUCAUAAUUUAUGCUUGAAAAGAUGACUUCUAAUUUCAUGAAUUUGAUGGUUGUGAGAACUCUAAUAUAUACAACUUAUGCUUGAGAGCUUAUCGGUAGUGGUCUUUGCAAUAAUAUUCCAUAAGCUAUUGGCAGAUUGGUUGGAUCCAAAGACUUCCCUAUAAACUUGUUUGAAUCCAUACCUAAUGCUUCUUGGAUUGACCCACCAAAAAAGUCAAACACGACUAGAGUAAAAGUAUUUUUGUCUGUGUUGGGUCAUAUAGUGGCGAAGUUAGAGGAAAGGAAUUAGUAUUAUUGUUCGGUAUAAUGGAGAUGCAACAGUAAAGUUAGAUACUUUGGUGAGGAUGAAGAAUAAUGAACUAUUGGUUCUAGUUAGUGGAUUAACUAAAAAGAAGUGAUUUAACAGAUAGAUGAAUGGAUGUAUCGUGGAAAAAUGAUAUUUGUUCACGGUUGAUAGAGAUUGGGGAAGACAUUCUUUUUUCGAGAUGACUUUUUUACGGAGCAAAUUUCUUUUAUAACAGAAAAGACUCUUUUUUCCAACAUGAAUUUUCCAACCCAGCAUAAAAAGUUAUUUUAUAUGAGUAUAUAUGUGAUGUGGAGUCUGUUAGUCGGGAGGAGCAUAAGUGAACCACUUUAUUAACAUCAAAGACAAUUUUGUACCCAAAUACAAACGGAGGACAUAAUUGCUUUAUUUUCAAUAGUUCAGGGACAUAUUUGGUCCUCUUCCGUUAAAUUUGUAUUGCGUUGAUAAAAAAAUGCUAAAAUUUUUAGACAAAUUGUCUGAUCUUCUCUUUUUUUUAACAAAAACAAAAAAGAAAUAAAAGAGGUGAAUGUCCAGUGUUUAUUUCAGGCUCAACUUUUCUAUAAUACGUUAUAGGAAAAAAGAAAUACCAAGACAUAAAUUGAUAUUGUUGACUUAUACAAAAGCGGAUGCAGAAUUUAAAUUUGGUUGCUUCCACUUAGAAGAAGGGUUAGGUGCUAAGUGGCCCAAAUCAGUAAAGAAGAAGUGACAUCGUUCAGCACCUAACCCUUCUACUAAGUGGAGGCCACCAACAAGAAGUUCGAAAACUACCCUAAAAAGCCUUAUCGAGCCCACGUCUCAAUUCGGUAAAAGUCACAGAAUAAGAACAUCCCAUUCACUCAAGAGUCAAACUAUAUAAGAAUUACUCGAAUCCGACCUCAAAUGCCUUUCAAAACUCAAUAAUUUAGUCUAGGAAGUUUCUACCAUUUCCCUAUAAAUUUCCAACUUAAAUCCCUAAUUAGAUGAUGAAAAUAGUAAUAAAUUCAUGAAAUAUAGUCCGGUACGAGUUAGAAUCACUUACCCUACAAUUUCCUUGAAGAACCCUCGAAAAAUUGCCUCACACCGAGCUCUCAAAGUCCCAAAAUUAAAAGUGGGAUGAAACUCUCGAACUUGGCACUUUUCUGCCCAGCGAUUUCGCAUUUGUGGGCCUACAGUCGCACCUGCGAAAUUUCCCUCGUAGGUGCAGAAAUGACUUAAGAAGGCUGGAUUUGCAUCUGGAUAAAUGGGUUGCACCAUUGUGUGCGCGCCUGCAGAGAACUGUUCACUUCUGCGGUCAUCCUCGCAUCUGUGGGCAUCACAAUGCAAAAUUCUCCUUGCACAUGCAACCCCUGAUCAACCAUCCCAAUCUGCUUCUGAGCUUGCUCACACAUGCGAUCCCGUACCGGCGGCCUCCCACCAUAGGUGCGAAAACACAAAAAACUAGAAAAACAUCAACAAUUUACAUAAGUCCAAUUUCAUCACGUUAAGCAUCUGAAACACACCCGAGACCCCCGGACCUCAAUCAAACAUACCAACAAGUCCUACAAUACCAUACAAAUUUAGUCGAGCCCUCAAAUCACAUCAAACAACGCCAAAAACACGAAUCACCCUCCAGUCCAAACUUACUGAACUUUGAAACUUCAAACUUCCAUAACCAAUGUUGAAACCUAUCAAACCACAUCCGAUUAACCUCAAAUUUUUCACACAAGUCAUAUUCAUCAUUAUGGACCUACUUCAACUUCCAGAAUUGAAAUCCGACCCCGAAACUAAAAAGUUCAUUUCCGAUCAAAAUCUCCAAAAAUUUGACUUUUGUCAUUUCAAACCUAAAUCAGCUACAUACCUCCAAUUCAUAGUCCUGACAUGCCCCUAAGUCAAAAAUUACCCAACGGAGCUAAUAGAACCGACGAAACUCCAUUCCGGAGUCGUCUGCAUACAGUUCUAACUACGAUCAAAAUCCUAAGACCUAAGCUUCCAUUUCAAGGGCUAAGUGUCCAAAAUACUCUGAAACCAACGAUAAAGCCUCCCGGCAAGUAACAUAAGCAGAAACAGAUACGAGGGAAGCAGUAAAUAGAAGAUCGGGGCUAUUACUCUCAAAACGACCAGCCGGGACGUUAUAAAUUGGUAUUUCCAUAAUUUAGUGAAGCAACAAUUGGGUAAAGCAAUUAUAGAUGAAGUUCUUACAGGUUCUUCUCGGGUCUUCAGUAAAACAACGCGACAAGGAAGACACAACUAGGGAGGAGCUCUUUCAAGUAGAAGUGACAAGAAAAAUCCUAGCCAGAAUGGUUACUAAAGAGUGGGCUAAAAGUACGGGAAAAUUAAUUAAAAAGCAAAAGGUCUGCCACGUUUGAUUUUGGCGAAAAAUUGAAAAAUUUUACGCCACAACCCACCUAAGUCAUUUGCAAAAUAAUGUGUAUUGGCAACCAAAAAAACUUUAUUAUUGUCAAUAUUGUUUAGAUUUUAACUUUAUUGCGUUAAAAGUUCUAUUUUUUGGAACAACUAAAAUUAGUUGUUGGUGUAUUUAUUAAAAUUCGGCAACAAUACUACAAUUGUUGUUAGAAAGUUGUUGCCAUUAGGGGUGUACAUAGACCGGGUUGGUUCGGAUUAUACAAUUACCAAACCAAAUCAAUUAUGUCGGGUUAUUAAAUCUAAA
This 3731-nucleotide long non-coding RNA is filed under the name Nicotiana benthamiana. Its description in RNAcentral is "long non-coding RNA (NBEN_LNC008818)". The record is from RNAcentral. Lineage: Eukaryota; Viridiplantae; Streptophyta; Magnoliopsida; Solanales; Solanaceae.